RNAcentral lists this ribosomal RNA (468 nucleotides) under uncultured bacterium. Its description in RNAcentral is "partial 16S ribosomal RNA". It matches the Rfam family "Bacterial small subunit ribosomal RNA", at positions 28 to 507 of the family's 1533-position model. The record is from RNAcentral.
GACGAACGCUGGCGGCGUGCUUAACACAUGCAAGUCGAACGGCAAGGCCCUGCUUUUGUGCGGUUCUCGAGUGGCGAACGCGUGAGUAACACGUGAGUAACCUGCCCUUGACUUUGGGAUAACUUCAGGAAACUGGGGCUAAUACCGUAUAGGAGCUCCUGCUGCGUGGAGGGGGUUGGAUAGUUUCGGCGGUUGGGGAUGGACUCGCGGCUUAUCAGCUUGCUGGUUGGGUAGUGGCUUACCCAGGCUUUGACGGGUAGCCGGCCUGAGAGGGUGACCGGCCACAUUGGGACUGAGAGACGGCCCAGACGCCUACGGGGGGCAGCAGUGGGGAACAUGGCACAAUGGGAGGGAGCCUGAGGCAGAAACGCCGCGGGCGGGAUGACGUUCUGCGGGUUGUAAACAGCUUUAGCCUGUGACGAAGCGUGAGUGACGGUAAUGGGUAAAGAAGCACCGGCUAACUACGUG